ACCACAAUUCUUUACGUUCAACAAUUUACAUUUGUUUUUUACAGUAAAUCCCAUAAUAAAUUAUCAAAUAUUCUGUAAUUUCGAUAAUUUUAACUAAUACUAAUAUAAUAAUUAUUGUUUUCUGAUUAUUUGAAUAUUAACUUUUAUCAAAUAAAUAUAAAAUAAAAUGUUUGCCGCCAAAUUUGACUUCCCCUACUUUCAUGAGGCAGCCAUCUUGCUUUUUCGUCGAUCACAAUUGCAGGCAGUUUACACGCACGUCAACGGUUCGCUCAUAAAAAUCGAGAAAUCUGCAUUCAAUUUAUCACCUGGAACAUUUUAAACUGGUUGCAAAAAAUAAAUCGGAUGGUAAAAAUCGACAAUAUUUUUUUUGUCAGAGAAGUCAAAAGGCAAUGUUGACACUGGCUACAGAAUGGAAUUUAGGCUCCAGAAGAAACUCAAUCUUUCAGGAAAAAUUUCUCAAGCCACCAGAGAAUGGAAAUCGAAAUUGUCAAAGAUUGGAAAAAGUAAUUUGGACCCGAGAUGUUAAGACAAAAGAUGCUGACAGUAUCUUCAGAAUGGAAUUUUGGAUCCGAAAAAAACUUUUAAUGGUG
This is a long non-coding RNA of Leptopilina boulardi, 590 nucleotides long. RefSeq lists it as uncharacterized. The record is from RefSeq and is a predicted model, not a curated record. Lineage: Eukaryota; Metazoa; Arthropoda; Insecta; Hymenoptera; Figitidae. The transcript has 3 exons.